GAUGAACGCUAGCGGCAGGCUUAAUACAUGCAAGUCGUGGGGCAGCGCGGGUAGCAAUACCUGGCGGCGACCGGCAAACAGGUGCGGAACACGUACGCAACCUUCCUUUAAGUGAGGAAUAGCCCAGGGAAACUUGGAUUAAUACCUCGUAACAUUAUGAGAUGGCAUCAUCUUAUAAUUAUAGCUACGGCGCUUAAAGAUGGGCGUGCGGCUGAUUAGGUAGUUGGCGGGGUAAUGGCCCACCAAGCCUACGAUCAGUAACUGGUGUGAGAGCACGACCAGUCACACGGGCACUGAGACGCGGGCCCG
Molecule: ribosomal RNA, 309 nt
Filed under: uncultured bacterium
Lineage: Bacteria
Description: bacterial SSU rRNA
Rfam family: Bacterial small subunit ribosomal RNA
Source: RNAcentral